AGAGUUUGAUCCUGGUAGAAAGAACGSUGGCGGCGGGCCUAACACAUGCAAGUCGCACGARAAAGCCCCUGCUUGCAGGGGCGAGUAAAGUGGCGCACGGGUGAGUAACGCGUGGUUAAUCUACCCUUGGGUUUGGGAUAACGUCCCGAAAGGGGCGCUAAUACCGGAUAAGACCACGGUGUCCACGGGCACUGGGGUAAAAGUGGGCCUCUACAUGUAAGCUCAUGCCUGAGGAUGAGACCGCGUCCCAUUAGCUUGUUGGUGAGGUAACGGCUCACCAAGGCCGCGAUGGGUAGCUGAUCUGAGAGGAUGAUCAGCCACACUGGGACUGGAACACGGCCCAGACUCCUACGGGAGGCAGCAGUGAGGAAUCUUGCGCAAUGGGGGAAACCCUGACGCAGCCACGCCGCGUGGGUGAAGAAGGCCUUCGGGUUGUAAAGCCCUGUCAGGUGGGAAGAACCGCAGUCUGGCCAAUACCUGGACUGCUUGACGGUACCACCAAAGGAAGCACCGGCUAACUCCGUGCCAGCAGCCGCGGUAAUACGGAGGGUGCAAGCGUUGUUCGGAAUUACUGGGCGUAAAGCGCGUGUAGGCGGACCGGUAAGUUGGGAGUGAAAGCCCUGGGCUCAACCCAGGAAGUGCUUCCAAUACUGCCGGCCUUGAGUUCCGGAGAGGGUGGUGGAAUUCCCGGUGUAGAGGUGAAAUUCGUAGAUAUCGGGAGGAACACCAGUGGCGAAGGCGACCAACCUGGA
RNAcentral lists this ribosomal RNA (752 nucleotides) under uncultured bacterium. RNAcentral describes it as "bacterial SSU rRNA". It matches the Rfam family "Bacterial small subunit ribosomal RNA", at positions 1 to 733 of the family's 1533-position model. The record is from RNAcentral.